Molecule: unclassified non-coding RNA, 263 nt
Filed under: uncultured fungus
Lineage: Eukaryota; Fungi
Description: sequence contains ITS1
Rfam family: 5.8S ribosomal RNA (bases 1-100)
Source: RNAcentral
AAUCCGCGAAAAGUGGUGCGAUGUGCAAUCUUUGAGAGUCACUGAAUAUUUGAACGCAAAUGGCACUGCAUGCAGAUGCAGAGUGCUUGGCUGAGCAUUGGACAGAAUGAGAAAUCGACAUGGAUGCUGCGAUGCGGUGUCUGAAAAGCAAGCGUGGCCGUGUGCGACUGGAAUGGGGAAUGAGUCGUGCAAAGGGGGACUGCGAGUUGUGGGGAUGGAUGUGAAUCAAUCUCAGCUCAAGCAAGAUGACCCGCUGAACUUAA